GAGGCAGUGCAAAUGCCCUGAACUCACCUUCGUUUCCCUACCUAAAUGACAAGCAGAAUUAUCAGAAACCGUGUAUGACCGACCAUCACAGUGGUUCAGCUGACAAAGACUUCAUAUGUUGAUUUAACGCAUCACCGACUCUUUCACAAAUGAACGUCCGCCAGAUGAAUAUGCAAGAUGUAUGUUCAUGAAUCGAGCAUUUUCUUUGCUCUGUGACAACGUUAGAGAGCCUUCAAUAACCUGAUCUUGCUCCACGUCUAAGGGUUCAUAGAAGUAAACCAAUGUCUGUUGCCAGUGUGUUGGGGGAUCCUCUGGUGCAGUUGACAAGACAAGGGCGUCGUUAGGAUUGGGACGCUUCUUUCUUUGAUUGUCUUCCGUCAUGUUACUGUUUGAAGGCUCAACAAAUGAAGGCCGCAUACCAUUAUCCAAAGGAAAUACUCUAGGGCCAGUAAACUCCACAUCAAACCAGAAAGCAAAACCAUGAAAGGGUGAUCGCAUCAUUGACUCAAAUCUAAAUCUGGAUGUGAUGGACUCUAGCUCCUGAGUUGUCACUUUAUAACAGUCCACAUGCUUCACCACUUGUGGCCAUGUCAAAACAUUUUCAACAGUAAUUGUCUCCACCGAUGGCUCUUCAAAUGCGCACUGCUUCGCUAAUGGCAUAAUAGCAGACAUGUCUAUUCCAUAAACGUUACGCCAGAAAUCAACACUUUCACUAUACCGGUCUGGAUGCGUCACAGGCGCCAUGUAUAGCGUUGCAUGUGAUGGAAGAAUAAGACCUCCUGGUUUCAGCCAGCGGUCUCUAGCAGUGAUAACACUCCCCAGCAUGCUCUCAUAAAGCAGCAUGUAACCCAUCCAUUCUGAAACUAUAAUGUCAACUUCUUCAUCAAUUUCAACAUCCUCGACCCGCCCAUGCAAAACAAUAACUUUGUCACAUAAGUUGUUUGCCUUCACAAUUUCAUUCGCCUGGACAGCUAUAUCACUUGCAUCAACAGCAUACACUCGUCUUGCACCCGCUUGUGCAC
Molecule: unclassified non-coding RNA, 1022 nt
Filed under: Hevea brasiliensis (rubber tree)
Lineage: Eukaryota; Viridiplantae; Streptophyta; Magnoliopsida; Malpighiales; Euphorbiaceae
Source: RNAcentral